Molecule: unclassified non-coding RNA, 243 nt
Filed under: Hevea brasiliensis (rubber tree)
Lineage: Eukaryota; Viridiplantae; Streptophyta; Magnoliopsida; Malpighiales; Euphorbiaceae
Source: RNAcentral
GGCUUAGUUGCUAUUGGCUUAUCAGCAUACAGAGGUGUGUACAAAUCACUCAGAGAGGUCUCCUUUGAGGUAAGGAAAGUCCUUGAGCUUUUAGUUGGACAAGUGAAUGAAAAGAUUCAGGCUGGGAAAGACAAAUAUCAGUAUGUUCGUCUCUUAUCGCAAGUAGCGUAUCUGGAAGAUAUGGUCAACAACUGGGCACAUGCAUUGCAAAGUUUAGAACUUGACACUCAAAUCACUGUGGCG